Molecule: ribosomal RNA, 902 nt
Filed under: uncultured bacterium
Lineage: Bacteria
Description: bacterial SSU rRNA
Rfam family: Bacterial small subunit ribosomal RNA
Source: RNAcentral
CCCUUAGAGUUUGAUCCUGGCUCAGAUUGAACGCUGGCGGAAUGCUUUACACAUGCAAGUCGAACGGCAGCACGGGGGCAACCCUGGUGGCGAGUGGCGAACGGGUGAGUAAUACAUCGGAACGUGCCCAGUCGUGGGGGAUAACGUAGCGAAAGCUACGCUAAUACCGCAUACGAACUCUGGUUGAAAGCGGGGGAUCGCAAGACCUCGCGCGAUUGGAGCGGCCGAUGGCAGAUUAGGUAGUUGGUGGGGUAAAGGCUCACCAAGCCGACGAUCUGUAGCUGGUCUGAGAGGACGACCAGCCACACUGGGACUGAGACACGGCCCAGACUCCUACGGGAGGCAGCAGUGGGGAAUUUUGGACAAUGGGCGCAAGCCUGAUCCAGCCAUUCCGCGUGCAGGAUGAAGGCCCUCGGGUUGUAAACUGCUUUUGUACGGAACGAAAAGGCCUUCUCUAAUACAGAGGGCUCAUGACGGUACCGUAAGAAUAAGCACCGGCUAACUACGUGCCAGCAGCCGCGGUAAUACGUAGGGUGCAAGCGUUAAUCGGAAUUACUGGGCGUAAAGCGUGCGCAGGCGGUUAUGUAAGACAGGUGUGAAAUCCCCGGGCUUAACCUGGGAACUGCAUUUGUGACUGCAUAGCUAGAGUACGGUAGAGGAGGAUGGAAUUCCGCGUGUAGCAGUGAAAUGCGUAGAUAUGCGGAGGAACACCGAUGGCGAAGGCAAUCCCCUGGACCUGUACUGACGCUCAUGCACGAAGGCGUGGGGAGCAAACAGGAUUAGAUACCCUGGUAGUCCACGCCCUAAACGAUGUCAACUGGUUGUUGGGUCUUCACUGACUCAGUAACGAAGCUAACGCGUGAAGUUGACCGCCUGGGGAGUACGGCCGCAAGUUGAAACUC